GGGGAGAUACCCAAGUGGCUAAAGGGGGCAGACUGUAAAUCUGUUGGCGUUGCCUACGGAGGUUCGAAUCCUCCUCUCCCCA
RNAcentral lists this transfer RNA (82 nucleotides) under Candidatus Poribacteria bacterium. Its description in RNAcentral is "tRNA-Tyr". It matches the Rfam family "tRNA". Rfam says of the family: Transfer RNA (tRNA) molecules are approximately 80 nucleotides in length. Their secondary structure includes four short double-helical elements and three loops (D, anti-codon, and T loops). Lineage: Bacteria; Candidatus Poribacteria. The record is from RNAcentral.